CCUACGGGAGGCAGCAGUGAGGAAUAUUGGACAAUGGGCGCAAGCCUGAUCCAGCCAUGCCGCGUGCAGGAUGACGGUCCUAUGGAUUGUAAACUGCUUUUGCACAGGAAGAAACAACAUUACGUGUAAUGUCUUGACGGUACUGUGAGAAUAAGGAUCGGCUAACUCCGUGCCAGCAGCCGCGGUAAUACGGAGGAUCCAAGCGUUAUCCGGAAUCAUUGGGUUUAAAGGGUCCGUAGGCGGUUUAGUAAGUCAGUGGUGAAAGCCCAUCGCUCAACGGUGGAACGGCCAUUGAUACUGCUAGACUUGAAUUAUUAGGAAGUAACUAGAAUAUGUAGUGUAGCGGUGAAAUGCUUAGAGAUUACAUGGAAUACCAAUUGCGAAGGCAGGUUACUACUAAUGGAUUGACGCUGAUGGACGAAAGCGUGGGUAGCGAACAGGAUUAGAUACCCUGGUAGUCCACGCCGUAAACGAUGGAUACUAGCUGUUGGGAGCAAUCUCAGUGGCUAAGCGAAAGUGAUAGUAUCCCACCUGGGGAGUACGUUCGCAAGAAUGAAACCUNAAAGGAAUUGACGG
Molecule: ribosomal RNA, 576 nt
Filed under: uncultured bacterium
Lineage: Bacteria
Description: bacterial SSU rRNA
Rfam family: Bacterial small subunit ribosomal RNA
Source: RNAcentral